This is a long non-coding RNA of Melanotaenia boesemani (Boeseman's rainbowfish), 143 nucleotides long. RefSeq lists it as uncharacterized. NCBI's taxonomy places the organism in Eukaryota, Metazoa, Chordata, Actinopteri, Atheriniformes, Melanotaeniidae. The record is from RefSeq and is a predicted model, not a curated record. The transcript has 3 exons.
CACUAGGUCCACCUGUAGGAGGAGGUAUAGGAGGAGGAGGUGCAGUAACACUAGGUCCACCUGUAGGAGGAGGAGGUGCAGUAACACUAGGUCCACCUGUAGGAGGAGGAGGUGCAGUAACACUAGGUCCACCUGUAGGAGGA